Molecule: non-coding RNA, 98 nt
Filed under: Clostridium autoethanogenum
Lineage: Bacteria; Bacillati; Bacillota; Clostridia; Eubacteriales; Clostridiaceae
Description: Guanine sequence
Rfam family: Purine riboswitch aptamer
About the family: Riboswitches are metabolite binding domains within certain messenger RNAs that serve as precision sensors for their corresponding targets.
Source: RNAcentral
GUGAAUAUCUUUUAUCCAGCUCAUAUAUACCCUCAAUAAGGCAGGGAGUAUCUACCGGAAGCCGUAAAUUUCUGACUAUGAGCGGAAUUAUUAUGGUA